AAAACUAGCAAGUCCUUUGGGUAUGAAACCCAUUUGGGCGAGAGUAGUACUAGGAUGGGUGACCUCCUAGGAAGUCCUCGUGAAACGGUUUCA
Molecule: non-coding RNA, 93 nt
Organism: Triticum aestivum (bread wheat)
Lineage: Eukaryota; Viridiplantae; Streptophyta; Magnoliopsida; Poales; Poaceae
Source: Rfam